RNAcentral lists this ribosomal RNA (467 nucleotides) under uncultured bacterium. RNAcentral describes it as "partial 16S ribosomal RNA". It matches the Rfam family "Bacterial small subunit ribosomal RNA", at positions 28 to 507 of the family's 1533-position model. The record is from RNAcentral.
GAUGAACGCUGGCGGCGUGCUUAACACAUGCAAGUCGAACGGAAAGGCCCAAGCUUGCUUGGGUACUCGAGUGGCGAACGGGUGAGUAACACGUGGGUGAUCUGCCCUGCACUUCGGGAUAAGCCUGGGAAACUGGGUCUAAUACCGGAUAGGACCACAUUUUGGAUGGUGUGGUGGAAAGUUUUUCGGUGUGGGAUGAGCUCGCGGCCUAUCAGCUUGUUGGUGGGGUAAUGGCCUACCAAGGCGUCGACGGGUAGCCGGCCUGAGAGGGUGUACGGCCACAGUGGGACUGAGAUACGGCCCAGACUCCUACGGGAGGCAGCAGUGGGGAAUAUUGCACAAUGGGCGCAAGCCUGAUGCAGCGACGCCGCGUGGGGGAUGAAGGCCUUCGGGUUGUAAACUCCUUUCGCUAGGGACGAAGCGUUUUUGUGACGGUACCUGGAGAAGAAGCACCGGCUAACUACGUG